GUGUGGGUCCUGUGCGACCACGCUCCGCGAACCAUGUCAGGCGGGGAACCGAGCAGCAUUAAGCGGGCAGCGAGGUGCGCCGCAGACCGCCUGCACGGU
RNAcentral lists this signal recognition particle RNA (99 nucleotides) under Candidatus Fimenecus excrementigallinarum. RNAcentral's name for it is "signal recognition particle sRNA small type". It matches the Rfam family "Bacterial small signal recognition particle RNA". Rfam says of the family: The signal recognition particle (SRP) is a universally conserved ribonucleoprotein involved in the co-translational targeting of proteins to membranes. Archaeal SRP consists of a 7S RNA and homologues of the eukaryotic SRP19 and SRP54 proteins. In most bacteria, the SRP consists of a 4.5S RNA and the Ffh protein (a homologue of the eukaryotic SRP54 protein). Lineage: Bacteria; Bacillati; Bacillota; Clostridia. The record is from RNAcentral.